Molecule: long non-coding RNA, 372 nt
Organism: Prionailurus viverrinus (fishing cat)
Lineage: Eukaryota; Metazoa; Chordata; Mammalia; Carnivora; Felidae
Exons: 3
Source: RefSeq, a predicted model, not a curated record
AAGGAUGUUUGGCAACCUGCAGGAAGGAAUGUGCCAGAGACAAAUGGAAGAGGAGAACCAAGUUAGAAGUGGAAAGGCAUGUGAAAGGAGUAACAACAGCAGCUUUCCAUGACUUACUGAAAAUGAGAAGCAGAGACCACAGCAGCUAAGGCUAGAGUACUUGCAGCCACAGUAAGCCAUGAAGUUACCUGGAGGAUGGUGGAGCAGGAAGAAGGAGCCUGGUAUCCUGAUGACACUGUGGAGCCCCUAUAAUGACUCUAAAUUAGUUACUUUUAGACUUAUUUUGUGUGAGCAAGACAGUUCUAUCUUGAUUUAACUGUUGUUAUUUUAGGGCUACAUUCACCCAAAUAUAACACUAAAUAAUAAAAAAGG